RNAcentral lists this ribosomal RNA (301 nucleotides) under uncultured bacterium. RNAcentral describes it as "partial 16S ribosomal RNA". It matches the Rfam family "Bacterial small subunit ribosomal RNA", at positions 509 to 807 of the family's 1533-position model. The record is from RNAcentral.
CAGCAGCCGCGGGAAUACGUAGGUGGUAAGCGUUGUCCGGAAUUAUUGGGCGUAAAGGGCUCGCAGGCGGUUUCUUAAGUCUGAUGUGAAAGCCCCCGGCUCAACCGGGGAGGGUCAUUGGAAACUGGGAAACUUGAGUGCAGAAGAGGAGAGUGGAAUUCCACGUGUAGCGGUGAAAUGCGUAGAGAUGUGGAGGAACACCAGUGGCGAAGGCGACUCUCUGGUCUGUAACUGACGCUGAGGAGCGAAAGCGUGGGGAGCGAACAGGAUUAGAUACCCGCGUAGUCCCUGUCUCUUAUAC